Molecule: ribosomal RNA, 695 nt
Filed under: uncultured bacterium
Lineage: Bacteria
Description: bacterial SSU rRNA
Rfam family: Bacterial small subunit ribosomal RNA
Source: RNAcentral
AGUCGAGGGGCAGCAUGGUCUUAGCUUGCUAAGGCCGAUGGCGACCGGCGCACGGGUGAGUAACGCGUAUCCAACCUGCCUUACACUCUUGGACAGCCUUCUGAAAGGGAGAUUAAUACAAGAUGUUAUCAUGAGUAAGCAUUUUCGCAUGAUUAAAGGUUUACCGGUGUAAGAUGGGGAUGCGUUCCAUUAGAUAGUAGGCGGGGUAACGGCCCACCUAGUCUUCGAUGGAUAGGGGUUCUGAGAGGAAGGUCCCCCACAUUGGAACUGAGACACGGUCCAAACUCCUACGGGAGGCAGCAGUGAGGAAUAUUGGUCAAUGGACGAGAGUCUGAACCAGCCAAGUAGCGUGAAGGAUGAAGGUUCUAUGGAUUGUAAACUUCUUUUAUACGGGAAUAAACGGAUCCACGUGUGGAUUUUUGCAUGUACCGUAUGAAUAAGGAUCGGCUAACUCCGUGCCAGCAGCCGCGGUAAUACGGAGGAUCCGAGCGUUAUCCGGAUUUAUUGGGUUUAAAGGGAGCGUAGAUGGGUUGUUAAGUCAGUUGUGAAAGUUUGCGGCUCAACCGUAAAAUUGCAAUUGAUACUGGCAGUCUUGAGUACAGUUGAGGUAGGCGGAAUUCGUGGUGUAGCGGUGAAAUGCUUAGAUAUCACGAAGAACUCCGAUUGCGAAGGCAGCUUACUAACCUGUAACUGAC